AUUUAUAUAUUUUAAAUAAAAUAUUGCAUUGAAGCUGCAAAGAUGAUAAGUUGUCUAUAAGUA
RNAcentral lists this transfer RNA (63 nucleotides) under Parastacus brasiliensis. RNAcentral describes it as "tRNA-Phe". The record is from RNAcentral. Lineage: Eukaryota; Metazoa; Arthropoda; Malacostraca; Decapoda; Parastacidae.